RNAcentral lists this transfer RNA (87 nucleotides) under uncultured Clostridium sp. RNAcentral describes it as "tRNA-Ser(gct)". It matches the Rfam family "tRNA". From Rfam's summary of the family: Transfer RNA (tRNA) molecules are approximately 80 nucleotides in length. Their secondary structure includes four short double-helical elements and three loops (D, anti-codon, and T loops). The record is from RNAcentral. Lineage: Bacteria; Bacillati; Bacillota; Clostridia; Eubacteriales; Clostridiaceae.
UGCAGAGAUACCCAAGUGGUAAAGGGAGCUGUUUGCUAAACAGCCAGGGUGUAACAGCCGCACAGGUUCGAAUCCUGUUCUCUGCGU